GCACGACCUAGUCAAAGGACUUUCAAACAAGUUAUGCCUCAUGGGCAAGAGUUGACACUACCACAUCGUGUCUUGAUUUAUUAGAUGUUCUAUAACUCUUGCCUUAGAGGCAAGACUUAGCCCAUAAGUUACGCCCCAUAGGCAAGAGUUGACACUACCACAUUAUGUCUUGAUUUAUGAGAUGUUCUAUUAGUCUUACCUUUUAGACUUGACUUGGCCCAAGAACCUCCCCAAAAGAACAAGUUAACGUCCAAUGUGCAAGUUUGACAUUACUACAUUGUGUCUUGAUUUAUGAUAUGUUCUAUAACUUUUUGUUGUCUUUUUUUUUUUUGGCUCAACAUUUAUUUAUUUUUUCCUUUUCUCUUCUCAACUUCUAUAUAUAUUUUCUCUUUUCUCUUUUCUUUGAUUUUUAUUUUUUUCUUUUUGAAUAUUUUUCUUUUUCCGCAACUUUUAUUAUUUUUCAUUUCUUUUCUUCGAUUUGUUCCAAACAACAAGUUAUGCCCUAUGUACAAGAGUUGACACUACCAUAUUAUAUUUUGAUUUAUAAUAUGUUAUAUAAAUUUUGCCUUAGAGCAAAGAUUUAGGACUUUGAAACAAGAAGUAACGUUUCAUGUGCAAGAGUUUACACUACCACAUUGUGUUUUGAUUAUGAGAUGUUCUAUGAUCUUACCUUAGAAGCAAGACUUAGCCCAAGGAUUUUAAAACGAGUUAUGCCCUACGUGCAAGAGGUGACACUACCACAUUAUGUUUUGAUUUAUGAGAUGUUCUACAACUAAUGCCCUAAGUUAUGCGGACUCUUCACUUUUGAUGCCGCACUCGUGUCGGAUUCUCCAAAAAUACACUACUUUUGGCGAAUCCGACACAUACCCACUGACAGUUUUGAAGAGUCCAAGCAACAUGGCUAUUGCCUUAGAGGCACGACUUAUUCAAAAGAUUUUCAAACAACAAAUUAUUUAGGCAAAAGUCAGCACAACCAUAUUGUAUUUUUUACUUGUGAACUGCUCUAUAACUUUUGGCCUAGAGGCAAAACUUAUCCCAAGGACCAUCAAACAACAAGUUAUGUCUCAUGGACAAGAGUUGACACUACCACAUUAUGUAUUUAUUUAUGAGAUGCUCUAUAACUCUUCAAUUAGAGGUAAGACUUAGACCAAGGGCUUUCAAGCUAUAAGUUGCGCUUCAUGGGCAAGUGUUGACACCACCGCAUUUUGUUUUGAUUUUUGAGACAUUCUAUAACUUUUGCCUUAGAGGCAAAGCUUAACCCAGGGACUUUCAAACAAGAAGUUAUGUCCCAUGGGUAAGAGUUUGACACUGCCACCUUAUGUUUUGAUCUAUGAGAUGUUCUAUAACUCUUGCCUUUGAGGCAAGACUUAGCCCAAGGACUUUUAAACAAGUUACGCCCCAUGGGAAAAAGUUGACACUACUACUUUGUAUCUUGAUUUAUGAGAUGUUUUAUAAAUCAAGGACUUUCAAGUAAUAAGUUAUGCUCCAUGGGUAAGAGUUAACACUACCCUAAUAUCUCUUGAUUUAUCAGAUGUUUUAUAACUCUUGCCUUAGUGGCACGACCUAGUCAAAGGACUUUCAAACAAGUUAUGCCUCAUGGGCAAGAGUUGACACUACCACAUCGUGUCUUGAUUUAUUAGAUGUUCUAUAACUCUUGCCUUAGAGGCAAGACUUAGCCCAUAAGUUACGCCCCAUAGGCAAGAGUUGACACUACCACAUUAUGUCUUGAUUUAUGAGAUGUUCUAUUAGUCUUACCUUUUAGACUUGACUUGGCCCAAGAACCUCCCCAAAAGAACAAGUUAACGUCCAAUGUGCAAGUUUGACAUUACUACAUUGUGUCUUGAUUUAUGAUAUGUUCUAUAACUCUUGCCUUAGAGGUAAUACUUAACUCUAAGGAUUUUCAAACAACAAGUUAUGCCCAUGAGCAAGACUUGACACUACCAUAUUAUGUUUCGAUUUACGAGAUGUUUUAUAACUUUUGUCUUGGAGGCAAGACUUAUCCCAAAGGACUUCUAAACAAAUCAUGCCUUUAAAUUUAAUUCGUGUCAAAGAAAGAAUAUCCCUUUGCAGAUUAUCUAACUUUCUAUUUAUUAACAAAAUAUAAUAAAAGUUAAGAAAAUAGAAAAAAGAGAAGAAAAAAAUUGCGAAAGAAAAAGAUUGAGGAAAAAAAGAAAAAAAGAGAAGAAAAAAAUAAAGGUUAAGAAAAAAGUGAAGAAUAAAAAAAUUUGAGAAAAACAAAAAUGAGAAGAGAAAAAAGAAAAAUGUAGUUUGAGAAAAAUGAGGAAAAAAAUAAAAAUGAGAAAUAAUAAAAAUAAAAAUAAAGGUUGAGAAAAAUGAAUUAAAAAAAAGAUAAAUGAAGAAAUAGAUAAUGUUUGAGAAAAAAGAAAAAAGAGAAAAAAUAAAGGUUGAGACAAAUGAAUUAAACAUGA
Molecule: long non-coding RNA, 2429 nt
Filed under: Capsicum annuum
Lineage: Eukaryota; Viridiplantae; Streptophyta; Magnoliopsida; Solanales; Solanaceae
Description: long non-coding RNA (CANN_LNC014316)
Source: RNAcentral